CAUUUAUGAUUUGGAUCUCUGCUUGUCAGUUGUUGGUGUAUAGGAAUACUUGUGAUUUUUGCACAUUGACUCUGUAUCCUGAGACUUUGCCCAAGUUGCUUAUCAGCUUAAGGAGUUUUGGGCUGAUACGAUGAGGUUUUCUAAAUAUAGAAUCAUGUCAUCUACAAACAGAGACAAUUUCACUUCUCUUUCUAUUUGAUACCCUUGAUUUCUUUCUCUUGCCUGAUUGCCCUGGCCAGAACUCAGAACUUCCAAUACUGUGUUGAAUAGGAGUGGUGAGAAAGGGCAUCCUUGUCUUGUACUGUUUUUCAAAGGGAAUGCUUCCAGCUUUUGGAGAUUCAAUGUGAUAUUGGCUGUGGAUUUAUCAUAAAUAGGCACCCGUCACCACACCUGGCUCAUUUUUUGUUGUUUUUGUAUUUUUAAUAGAGAUGGGGUUUCACCGUGUUAACCAGGAUGAUCUCAAUCUCCUGACCUCGUGAUCCACCUGCCUUGGCCUCCCAAAGUGCUGGGAUUACAGGUGCGAGCCACUGCGUCCAAAUACCAAGUUUAUUGAGUUUUUAACAUGAAGCGAUGUUGAAUUUUAUCAAAGGCCUUUUCUAUUUAUCUAUUGAGAUAAUCAUGUGUUUUUUGUCUUUUGUUGUAUUUAUGUUAUGGAUUAUGUUUAUUGAUUUGCAUAUGUUGAACCAGCCUUGCUUCCCAGGGAUGGAGCCCACUUGAUUGUGGUGAAUAAAUUCUUUGAUGUGCUGCUGGAUUUGGUUUGCCAGUAUUUCAUUGAAGAUUUUUGUGUAGAAGUUCAUGAGGGAUAUUGGCCUGAAGUUUUCUUUUUUUGUUGUGUCUCUGCCAGGUUUUGGUAUCAGGAUGAUGCUGGCCUCAUAAAAUGAGUUAGGGAGGAGUCCCUCCUUUUCAAUUGCUUGGAAUUGUUUCAGACGGAAUGGUACCAGCUCCUCUUUGUGCCUCUGUUAGAAAUCAGCUCUGAGUCCAUCUAGUCCUGGGCGUUUUUUGGUUGGUAGGCUAUUAAUUUCUGCCUCAAUUUCAGAACUUGUUAUUGGUCUAAUCAGGGAUUCGAUUUCUUCCUGGUUUAGUCUUGAGAGGGUGUAUGUGUCCAGGAAUUUAUCCAUUUCUUCUAGAUUUUCUAGUUUAUUUGUGUAGAGGUGUUUAUAGCAUUCUCUGAUGGUAGUUUGUACUUCUGUGGUGUCAGUGGGACAGUGUGGUGAUUCCUCAAGGAUCUAGAACCAGAAAAACAUUUGAUCUAGCAAUUCCACUACUGGGUAUAUACCCAAAGGAAUAUAAAUUAUGGUACUAUUUAGACACAUACACAUGUAUGUUUAUUUACAGCACUAUUCACUAUAACAAAUACAUGAAACCAACCCAAAUGCCCAUCAAUGAUAGCCUGGAUAAGGAAAACGUGGUGCUUAUAAACCAUGGAACACUAUGCAGCCAUAAAAAGGAAUGAGAUCAUAUCCCUUUCAGGGACAUGGAUGAAGCUAGAAGCCAUCAUUCUCAGCAAACUAACACAAGAAUAGAAAAACAAACACUGCAUGUUCUCACUCAUAAGUGGGAGUUGAACAAUGAGAACACCUGGACACAGGGAGGGGAAUAACACAUACUAGGGCCUGUUGGGGGGUAGGGGUAUGCAGAGGGAACCUAGAUGACAGGUCAAUAGGUGCAGCAAACCACUAUGGCGCAUGUAUACCUAUGUAACAAAUCUGCACAUUCUGCACAUGUAUCCUGGAAGUUAAAGUAAGAUAAAAAUAAAAAUAAGAAAUGAAAAAACACAGGUGUCUGACAGAUGGGAUUGCAUUAAACUCAAAAGCUUUUGCACAUCAGGGGAAACAACUGAGUGAAGAAGCGAUUCACAUAUUGGGAGAACAUAUUUGCAAAUCAUACAUUGAAAAAGUGGCUAAUACUUAAAAUGUAUAAGAAACUCAACUCACUAGCAAAAAACAAAAUAAGACAAAACAAAACAAAAA
This is a long non-coding RNA of Macaca fascicularis (crab-eating macaque), 1970 nucleotides long. Lineage: Eukaryota; Metazoa; Chordata; Mammalia; Primates; Cercopithecidae. The record is from Ensembl.